This 426-nucleotide long non-coding RNA is filed under the name Olea europaea subsp. europaea. Lineage: Eukaryota; Viridiplantae; Streptophyta; Magnoliopsida; Lamiales; Oleaceae. The record is from RNAcentral.
CUUUACAUACCCGGGCAAAAUGUAAGGAAUAGAAAGGUGGGAAUCAUUACAUUCUCAACAACACUGUUUCCUUUUGUGAUAUUGGGACAAUCUGAAGAGGAGAUAUUGUUGAUCUGGGGUGAGCCGGUCAUUUUCUCCCGAUCCAGGUGACUCGAUGGAAACAAGAAUUAGAACUAGUAAAAUUUUUUGGCUGAUAGAAUGAUGUUGAUUGAAAACCAAUUUUGAUUCUGCAUUAAUCCGGUUCAUUUUCAAGAAAUCCAUAUACAUCACGAUGGGAAAUACAAUCAGAACCUAUAAUGUAUUUUUGCUGAAGGAAUCAAUGAUGUAUAAAUUCUGAUACUCUUGAUAUUUCUUUGCUAAGAGAAUGAUGUUUGUUUCUGGGGAUUGAAUUCGAAAUUUGUUUCUGCUUAAUGAAAGAGUUCAUUU